AUCGCUUCUCAGCCUUUUGACUAAGAUCAAGCAUAGUAUCAGUUUAAUAUCUGAUAUGUUCUCUAUCCGAGGACAAUACAUUAAAUAGAUUUUUGGAACACAGAGAUGGACUAGGAGCUUGCGCCUUCCACUCCAUACAUCAACCUGGUAUUACAGUACUUCCAGGAACGGUGCACCAAAA
This 181-nucleotide small nuclear RNA is filed under the name Tupaia belangeri chinensis (Chinese tree shrew). RNAcentral describes it as "Tupaia chinensis (Chinese tree shrew) U2 spliceosomal RNA". It matches the Rfam family "U2 spliceosomal RNA". From Rfam's summary of the family: U2 is a small nuclear RNA (snRNA) component of the spliceosome (involved in pre-mRNA splicing). Complementary binding between U2 snRNA (in an area lying towards the 5' end but 3' to hairpin I) and the branchpoint sequence (BPS) of the intron results the bulging out of an unpaired adenosine, on the BPS, which initiates a nucleophilic attack at the intronic 5' splice site, thus starting the first of two transesterification reactions that mediate splicing. The record is from Rfam by way of RNAcentral. Lineage: Eukaryota; Metazoa; Chordata; Mammalia; Scandentia; Tupaiidae.